GCUAGUCGUGCGCCUCCAGCCAUGGUGGAGGCGCGGCGCACAGCUCAGUAACACGUGGCUAACCUGCCCUUGGGACGGGGAUAACCCCGGGAAACUGGGGCUAAUACCCGAUAGGCGAGGACUCCUGGAAUGGGUCUUCGCCGAAAGGGCGCCUGGACCAUGCUCUAGGCGCCGCCCAAGGAUGGGGCCGCGGCCGAUCAGGUAGUUGGUGAGGUAACGGCUCACCAAGCCUAUAACCGGUACGGGCCGUGAGAGCGGGAGCCCGGAGAUGGACACUGAGACAAGGGUCCAGGCCCUACGGGGCGCAGCAGUCGCGAAACCUCCGCAAUGCGGGCAACCGCGACGGGGCCACCCCGAGUGCCGCCCGAAGAGGGCGGCUUUUCCCCGGUCUAAACAGCUGGGGGAAUAAGCGGGGGGCAAGUCUGGUGUCAGCCGCCGCGGUAAUACCAGCCCCGCGAGUGGUCGGGACUUUUAUUGGGCCUAAAGCGUCCGUAGCCGGCCCGGCGAGUCCCCCCUUUAAUCCCACGGCCCAACCGUGGGGCUGGGGGAGAUACUGCUGGGCUAGGGGGCGGGAGAGG
This 578-nucleotide ribosomal RNA is filed under the name uncultured archaeon. RNAcentral describes it as "bacterial SSU rRNA". It matches the Rfam family "Archaeal small subunit ribosomal RNA", at positions 53 to 608 of the family's 1478-position model. The record is from RNAcentral.